RNAcentral lists this ribosomal RNA (578 nucleotides) under bacterium het-w-7. RNAcentral's name for it is "bacterial SSU rRNA". It matches the Rfam family "Bacterial small subunit ribosomal RNA", at positions 50 to 618 of the family's 1533-position model. The record is from RNAcentral.
UACACAUGCAGUCGAGCGGCAGCACAAGUAAGUUUACUUAUGAGGUGGCGAGCGGCGGACGGGUGAGUAAUGCCUAGGGAUCUGCCCAGUCGAGGGGGAUAACAGUUGGAAACGACUGCUAAUACCGCAUACGCCCUACGGGGGAAAGAGGGGGACCUUCGGGCCUCUCGCGAUUGGAUGAACCUAGGUGGGAUUAGCUAGUUGGUGAGGUAAUGGCUCACCAAGGCGACGAUCCCUAGCUGUUCUGAGAGGAUGAUCAGCCACACUGGGACUGAGACACGGCCCAGACUCCUACGGGAGGCAGCAGUGGGGAAUAUUGCACAAUGGGGGAAACCCUGAUGCAGCCAUGCCGCGUGUGUGAAGAAGGCCUUCGGGUUGUAAAGCACUUUCAGUAGGGAGGAAAGGGUGAGUCUUAAUACGGCUCAUCUGUGACGUUACCUACAGAAGAAGGACCGGCUAACUCCGUGCCAGCAGCCGCGGUAAUACGGAGGGUCCGAGCGUUAAUCGGAAUUACUGGGCGUAAAGCGUGCGCAGGCGGUUUGUUAAGCGAGAUGUGAAAGCCCUGGGCUCAACCUAGG